CAGAGACAUCAUGUCUGCUUACCAUACAUAGGAGUUCCAGAAAACAGCCUGUGUGGAUGAAGAGUUAAGGGCACGUGCACCUACGGAGUGAGAUUAGAACCAAAUCAUAAGAGUCCAGAUAUGUAGCCAUGUCCUACCCUGCAGGGAGAGUCCUACGUAGCACAUGCAGAGAAGCUUGGACUGGAUGGGAAGGAAUGUGCGUUCAGUGUGUGCUUCACAAAGGACGUGCUAUGGAAGAACCUCACACUUUGAGUAACCCCUCCCUUCCAUCUCAGGACUGGACAUACAGCCUUGAGCCUUAGCAACGAUGGGUCUUAAGGGGCUUGCUCUGUGGAAAUCAUGGUUUCUUCUAUUCAAAUGGUCCCCUUCAGUGUUCUGUGGGUCUCCUGAUACCUAGGGGCAUCCUCAAAUAGAAGCGACUGGACUGUCAGGAGGAGCGUUUUCUGUAUCUGUUGGGGAAGUCUGCCUGGAUUAUGUAGGAGACCAGAUGAGAUGACCUCUAGUUCCUUUCCAAAUCUGGGCCUGUGUUCUAAGGUUAAAUGGAUAUUGUUCUAAGGUGUCAGACAUCCUGAACCACUAACAUCUGGUCUUUUCUUCCGCCUCAUGGAAAAGAGGGUGCCGCUUUCUGCCACAGAUGGCCUAUCCUGGGAAAACUGGAGGACCUGCUGGACAAGAGUUGGGGGUGAAAAGGGUCCCCCGACCCUCCAGCUCUCAGAAAGCUGCGUCUUCCAGCAGUAUCUGGAACAUUCUGACAGGUGGAUCUGAGCUCACAGCAGGACAUCUAAUGGAAAAGAGUAGCAGGUGAUGUGAGACUGGAACUCAGGAAAGACAACAAGGGGGCCAGCAACCCAGAAGAGAGGUCAAGAGAAGAGCGACAGACAGAGCACUGGGACGCAGGAAAGCUGUACUCAGCGUCAGGAGGAAUAAGCAUUGGCAGAGACAGAGUGAUCAGGAGGUAAACAAACUCGGGAGAUGCAAUAUAAGGGAAACUGGAGAGGAGACAGAUUCAAGGGCCUGACGCAAAAGAUGGCCAUUUUUACAGGACCUGGUGACUAGCUGGCUGUGGGAGUGUCUGACACCUUUGGGGUGCAGAUCACGAGAAAUCCAGGAAGAAAGCUAGAGAGUGAAGACUCACUUCAUUGGCUCCUGAGUCUACAGUCUGCGUCUUUCCUGGGUUUCAGCUACCUCCUGCCUUUCGGGUCUAUUAGCUGCCUCCC
Molecule: long non-coding RNA, 1217 nt
Organism: Camelus dromedarius (Arabian camel)
Lineage: Eukaryota; Metazoa; Chordata; Mammalia; Artiodactyla; Camelidae
Exons: 3
Source: RefSeq, a predicted model, not a curated record